RNAcentral lists this ribosomal RNA (489 nucleotides) under uncultured bacterium. RNAcentral's name for it is "partial 16S ribosomal RNA". It matches the Rfam family "Bacterial small subunit ribosomal RNA", at positions 28 to 507 of the family's 1533-position model. The record is from RNAcentral.
GACGAACGCUGGCGGCGUGCUUAACACAUGCAAGUCGAACGGUGAAGGGACCAGCUUGCUGGUUCUGGAUGAGUGGCGAACGGGUGAGUAACACGUGAGUAACCUGCCCCCUUCUUCUGGAUAACCGCAUGAAAGUGUGGCUAAUACGGGAUAUUCUGGGUCUGUCGCAUGGCGGGCCCGGGAAAGAUAUUGCUUCGGUGGGGGAUGGGCUCGCGGCCUAUCAGCUUGUUGGUGGGGUGAUGGCCUACCAAGGCGGUGACGGGUAGCCGGCCUGAGAGGGUGGACGGUCACACUGGGACUGAGACACGGCCCAGACUCCUACGGGAGGCAGCAGUGGGGAAUAUUGCACAAUGGGCGCAAGCCUGAUGCAGCGACGCCGCGUGAGGGAUGGAGGCCUUCGGGUUGUAAACCUCUUUCGCCAGUGAGGCAGGCCUGCUCCUUGUGGGUGGGUUGACGGUAGCUGGAUAAGAAGCGCCGGCUAACUACGUG